UACGGAGGGUGCAAGCGUUAUCCGGAUUCACUGGGCGUAAAGGGCUCGUAGGUGGCCAACUAAGUCAGACGUGAAAUCCCUCGGCUUAACCGGGGAACUGCGUCUGAUACUGGAUGGCUUGAGUUCGGGAGAGGGAUGCGGAAUUCCAGGUGUAGCGGUGAAAUGCGUAGAUAUCUGGAGGAACACCGGUGGCGAAGGCGGCAUCCUGGACCGACACUGACACUGAGGAGCGAAAGCCAGGGGAGCAAACGGG
Molecule: ribosomal RNA, 253 nt
Filed under: uncultured bacterium
Lineage: Bacteria
Description: partial 16S ribosomal RNA
Rfam family: Bacterial small subunit ribosomal RNA
Source: RNAcentral